Molecule: ribosomal RNA, 253 nt
Filed under: uncultured bacterium
Lineage: Bacteria
Description: partial 16S ribosomal RNA
Rfam family: Bacterial small subunit ribosomal RNA
Source: RNAcentral
UACGUGGGGAGCAAGCGUUGUCCGGAAUCAUUGGGCGUAAAGCGCGCGUAGGUGGCUUCGUAAGUCCGUUGUGAAAGUCAAAGGCUCAACCUUUGAAAGCCGAUGGAUACUGCGGAGCUAGAGUACGGAAGAGGCGAGUGGAAUUCCUGGUGUAGCGGUGAAAUGCGCAGAUAUCGGGAAGAACACCAGUGGCGAAGGCGGCUCACUGGUCCGGUACUGACGCUGAGGUGCGAAAGCGUGGGGAGCAAACAGG